This 460-nucleotide ribosomal RNA is filed under the name Etha sp. BFS-2018. Its description in RNAcentral is "partial 16S large subunit ribosomal RNA". The record is from RNAcentral. Lineage: Eukaryota; Metazoa; Arthropoda; Insecta; Hymenoptera; Ichneumonidae.
UCUGCUCCAUGAUUGNAAGAUUAAAUAGCUGCAGAAUUUUAACUGUACAAAGGUAGCAUAAUCAAUAGUUUUUUAAUUAAAAGCUGGAAUGAAUGAUUUUAUAAGGUAUUUAUUGUCUCAAUUUUAUUAAAAUUAUAAUUUUUUUUUUAGUAAAAAUACUAAAAAAAAUUUAAAAGACGAGAAGACCCUAUAGAUUUUUAUAUUAAAAAUUAAAUAAAUUUAAAUUAAUUAAUAAGAUUUAAUUGGAAAAUAUUUGGUUGGGGAAAUUAUUAAAUUUAAAAAAUUUUAAUUAAAUAAAAACAAUAAUUAUUGAUUUUUUUUUUUGAACUUAUGUUAUAAAUUUAAAGAAUAAAUUACCUUAGGGAUAACAGCGUAAUUUUUUUGGAGAGAUCAUAUUGAUAAAAAAGUUUGCGACCUCGAUGUUGAAUUAAGAUAAAAUUUUAAUGAAGAAGUWAAAAAA